Molecule: ribosomal RNA, 253 nt
Filed under: uncultured bacterium
Lineage: Bacteria
Description: partial 16S ribosomal RNA
Rfam family: Bacterial small subunit ribosomal RNA
Source: RNAcentral
UACGUAGGUGACCAGCGUUGUCCGGAUUUACUGGGCGUAAAGAGCGCGUAGGCGGUCGUUCAAGUCGAGUGUGAAAGCCCCCGGCUCAACUGGGGAGGGUCAUUCGAUACUGAUCGACUUGAAGGCAGGAGAGGGAAGUGGAAUUCCCGGUGUAGUGGUGAAAUGCGUAGAUAUCGGGAGGAAUACCAGUGGCGAAGGCGGCUUCCUGGCCUGUUCUUGACGCUGAGGCGCGAAAGCUAGGGUAGCAAACGGG